This is a non-coding RNA of Beta vulgaris subsp. vulgaris (sugar beet), 125 nucleotides long. NCBI's taxonomy places the organism in Eukaryota, Viridiplantae, Streptophyta, Magnoliopsida, Caryophyllales, Amaranthaceae. The record is from Rfam.
AUGUGUGCGAGUUAACGGGCGAGUAAACCCGUACAGCGCAAGGAAGCUAAUUGGCGGGAUCUCCUAGCGGGUGCACCGCCGACCGACCUUGAUCUUUUGAGAAGGGUUCGAGUGUGAGCAUACCU